This 65-nucleotide transfer RNA is filed under the name Limnoria quadripunctata. RNAcentral's name for it is "tRNA-Ile". Lineage: Eukaryota; Metazoa; Arthropoda; Malacostraca; Isopoda; Limnoriidae. The record is from RNAcentral.
AUUCUGCCUUCUGCAAAGAAAUAGAAUGAUAAACUAUUGGUGCAAAUUAGGUUUUGCGCAGAAGU